AGGAGGACAAAAACAAGGUGAAGCUAAAUUUACAAAUGUAUUGUCUGUUGGUGAUUUUUUAAAGACAAGUCAGGUGAAAUUCUAUAUUUAUAAUAUUCCCAUGAAGAGACCAAAAAAGUAUGUGUAUUGUAGCUCUGUGCCAUAGAGCCAUAAACACACCAAUGAGCCACACUGUUUCACUGGGUGACAUGUUGCAGUAACAAGCUGUUUAAGGAGAUAAAACUACAUAUUUGUGAGCUUUACGUCUUCAGUAGGAACCGAUGGGCUUUGGGGCUCAGAGCCGCAGACAGGGAGAUGAAGCCAGAAAGGGUUGACAUUGUCAGUUCAGGCAUUUUUGUGGUAUUUGUUGACGAUAACAGAAAUACAGAAUGAGGCCAGCCUUAUCAGUGUGAAACAAUAUAACAUGAAUACGGUAACAUUAGCAUAAAAACAUUUGGUGUAUCACAAAAAUUAGAUGAGACACUUACAAGACAUGGCAAGAAGAGAGACCAACCUCAACCUGACAUGGUGUUCAUCAGGGCAGGAAUAAUAAACUAGCAAACUACAGCAUAGUAAACUAUUUCCGCUCUAAUGCAGACCCUGAAUAGUUUCUGAACAUUAGUUUACUUUCUGCGAAGAGUAAAAAGGACUUUGAAAGCAGAAUGGUAAUGUGAAGGAAUGAUGCCCCUGGCAAAUCAGUAACACAGACUAGUACAACUUCAUUUGAAACGAUUAUUGUAUUGCUUGGGUCAACCGAUUCUCAAACUGUGCAGCGGUGAGAAGCAUCACGUCCCUGUGUUUCAUCAAAAAUUCAAAUAUAUCAAGUUAAUCUCUAGUAUUAUAAAUCUAUUUACAAUAUGUCUGCUACUGAGCCUGUGGACUGGGAAAACUUAUAAUCCAGAACAUACAUAAGAAGCACAGGAGUAGUUUGACCAUGAAGACAGGUCAAUGGACAGAGGACAGCGGAGUAGAUCAACCAAAGGCAGAGAGAUUUACACCAAAACAGAGCAAACCUCAGCAGGCACAACUUGCUGAAUCAUACUGAUACUGAUCAAACCCUCUGUCAACACUUCACAGAUAUGUUGCUACAGGUACAGGUGAUGAGAACAAAAUAUGGGGGUUGGUAAUGGCGCAGUGGAUAAGACACAUGCCUUUGAUGUGAGAGACCCGGUUUCAAUUCCCCACUGUGACACGUCCACCCUUGUGUCCCUGAGCAAGACACUUUACCCCUAGUUGCUCCAGAGGCGCGCAACCUCUGACAUUUUUGCAAUUGUAAGUCGGUAAAACAUGAUCGACUACAGACUGUGCAGAACUCAGCUGCAAGGUUUCUGACCAGAACAAAGAAAUAUGAUCACAUCACCUGUUUAAGCUUCAUUACACUGGCCCUCAGUAUGUUUUAGAAUUUUAUUGGCUACUUUAAAGCUCUUCAUGGCCUCUCGCCGUGUUAUAUCUCUGACCUUUUAGUCCCAUACACACCAGCAAGCCUUGAGAUCCUGGGGCAGAGGCCUUUUGUCUGUUCCAGAGUCUCGACUGAAAACUAAAGGGGACAGUUUGUAGUCAGGGCCCCGAGGCUCUAAACAGCCUGCUAGAGGAAAUCCGGUUGGCUGAGUCAGUGAAAUCUUGUAAGUCCCUUCUUAAAACAUACUUUCCAGAUUUAUUUUAUAUAUAUUUUGUCAUUUCUUUUAACUGUUUUUUAGUUUCUUAAAUGUUUUCUUGCCUUUGUCGUGUAUUUUGUUUUUAUCUGUGUUUAAUUGUCUCUGCACUUGUUAAAGCACUUUGAUGACGCAUUUUUUUUUGAGGCAGUGCUAAUGUUUAUCUGAACGCAGCAUUACUGGACUACAGGGGAGGCCCGCCUGUAGAGAGUUAAGAGUCCAGUAACAUGUUCAACCCUGGCAGCAGGGAUGGAGAGUGAACAGGAAACCAGACACCACGUCCACCUUUCACCUGAAGCUGCAACAAGAACCGGAGUCACGUUCGGGUGCAGUGCGACUGACCCUUACUGCUCUUCAGCUUUUAGUCAUUGAAAGGCUGCAAAAAAUGGUGAGAGCAGGAGAGCCGAAGGGAAGGCGCGGAGGGAGAGAUGUGACCCAAAGAUACUGUGACUGUCGCAGUAACUGCAAAACCGAAAUAUCUUGCUAUUGACAAGCAAACCACAGACGAUGGCCUCCAGGACCCCCGUGUUCCUCCUGCCGCUGCUCCUUAGAGUCCAAGUGGAGCUCCAGUUCUGCUAGCCUGCUGUGGAGCUCCAGAUCCAGGCUCAACCCGCCAGGCCCCGUCUGUCCUGCAAAU
Micropterus salmoides (largemouth bass) is the source of this 2268-nucleotide long non-coding RNA. RefSeq lists it as uncharacterized. Lineage: Eukaryota; Metazoa; Chordata; Actinopteri; Centrarchiformes; Centrarchidae. The transcript has 3 exons. The record is from RefSeq and is a predicted model, not a curated record.